UUUGGUGGUCUUCUUUUUGAAUGUGCUGCUAAAGUGACUCUUCUGUAGUUGCAACAAGUUCUUCCCACCGGAACAAAAUGAACACAGGGAAAUGACAAGGUGCAGUACAUUAUUCACAAGUAUGAAUUAAAAAUGUGGCAGUUGCAUUGUCAUUCAGAACCUGCAAAGAAAAUUACCGUCAUGUGGGUGUUUUAUUCCGUGCAGGACUUUCAUCAAACAAAUAGUGUGCAUAUUACAGUACCGAAUCAGCACAAUACGUUACUUUUUAUUGGAAAUAAUUGAACUUGCCGAAUUGGGGGUGACGAAUUCCAAUUCCCAGAACACAGAAACGGCGUCCAUUUCAUUCGGGUUAAACGCAAAUCUAUAACAAUUUGUUCUUCACUCCCAGGAGAAUUUCUUGAUUUCGUUAUCAAAUGGUUUGAUGAUUAAAUAAUUGAAUAGAUUGAAUGCAAAUCACUAAAUUUGUAGAGAAGUAAACUAA
This 481-nucleotide long non-coding RNA is filed under the name Phaseolus vulgaris (common bean). RNAcentral describes it as "long non-coding RNA (PVUL_LNC004784)". Lineage: Eukaryota; Viridiplantae; Streptophyta; Magnoliopsida; Fabales; Fabaceae. The record is from RNAcentral.